Non-coding RNA from Schistosoma mansoni, 45 nucleotides. Lineage: Eukaryota; Metazoa; Platyhelminthes; Trematoda; Strigeidida; Schistosomatidae. The record is from Rfam.
AUCCAGCUGACGAGUCCAAAAUAGAACGAGACGAGCGUACUGGAU